RNAcentral lists this unclassified non-coding RNA (305 nucleotides) under plant metagenome. RNAcentral describes it as "partial contains 5.8S ribosomal RNA, internal transcribed spacer 2, and large subunit ribosomal RNA". The stretch from base 1 to 105 matches the Rfam family "5.8S ribosomal RNA", at positions 50 to 154 of the family's 154-position model. The record is from RNAcentral.
GAAAUGCGAUAAGUAAUGUGAAUUGCAGAAUUCAGUGAAUCAUCGAAUCUUUUAACGCACAUUGCGCCCGCCAGUAUUCUGGCGGGCAUGCCUGUUCGAGCGUCAUUUCAACCAUCAAGCCCCCGGCUUGUGUUGGGGACCUGCGGCUGCCCGCAGGCCCUGAAAAACAGUGGCGGGCUCGCUGUCACACCGAGCGUAGUAGCAUACAUUCUCGCUCAGGGCGUGCUGCGGGUUCCGGCCGUUAAACGACCUUCAUAACCCAAGGUUGACCUCGGAUCAGGUAGGAAGACCCGCUGAACUUAAGC